UACAUGCCCUUCAGUGGGGAAUAGCCCAGGGAAACUUGGAUUAAUACCCCAUGGUAUCGCAAGAUUAAAGGUGGCCAGCAAUGGCUGCCGCUGAAGGAUUGGUUCGCACCCUAUCAGCUUGUUGGUGAGGUAAUGGCUCACCAAGGCUACGACGGGUACCUGGUCUGAGAGGACGAUCAGGCACACUGGAACUGAGACACGGUCCAGACACCUACGGGUGGCAGCAGUCGAGAAUAAUUCACAAUGGGGGCAACCCUGAUGGUGCAACGCCGCGUGGAU
RNAcentral lists this ribosomal RNA (279 nucleotides) under uncultured bacterium. RNAcentral describes it as "partial 16S ribosomal RNA". It matches the Rfam family "Bacterial small subunit ribosomal RNA", at positions 123 to 406 of the family's 1533-position model. The record is from RNAcentral.